RNAcentral lists this ribosomal RNA (305 nucleotides) under uncultured bacterium. RNAcentral's name for it is "bacterial SSU rRNA". It matches the Rfam family "Bacterial small subunit ribosomal RNA", at positions 337 to 658 of the family's 1533-position model. The record is from RNAcentral.
ACCUACGGGGCGCAGCAGUGGGGAAUAUUGCACAAUGGGGGAAACCCUGAUGCAGCAACGCCGCGUGAAGGAAGACGGUUUUCGGAUUGUAAACUUCUGUUCUUAGUGAAGAAUAAUGACGGUAGCUAAGGAGCAAGCCACGGCUAACUACGUGCCAGCAGCCGCGGUAAUACGUAGGUGGCAAGCGUUGUCCGGAAUUACUGGGUGUAAAGGGAGCGCAGGCGGGGAGCCAAGUCAGCUGUGAAAACUACGGGCUUAACUUGUAGACUGCAGUUGAAACUGGUUUUCUUUAGUGACGUAGAGGU